RNAcentral lists this ribosomal RNA (366 nucleotides) under Triticum aestivum (bread wheat). RNAcentral's name for it is "partial small subunit ribosomal RNA". The record is from RNAcentral. Lineage: Eukaryota; Viridiplantae; Streptophyta; Magnoliopsida; Poales; Poaceae.
AUGCAUAUGUCAUGUAUCACAAUUUUAGUUCUCCAAAAAAUAAUAUCAUUGUUGUUUACUCGCCUGGCUCUGGCGACUCAGGGGCGAAAACCUAGCGCCGCCACCACCCCUCCCCCCACCCCCUCCCAUCUCGCCGCUGCCAGAGGUUUCCGCCGGCAAAGCUCGCGCUGGACCCAGGGACGGCGGCGGCGGGGCGUCUCUCUCAAUCCAGGUAGCAGGGCUCGGCGACGCGAGGCCCUCUGCCGGCGGCGCAUCUGGCCGUGGUCGGUGGCGGUCUCAUCCGGCGCGAGCUGCCUCACGGUGGUGGUUGCGAGGCGGUGGCGGGCGGCUGUGCUGCGGCGGUGUGGCGGCCGGUGGACCUGGUGA